Molecule: ribosomal RNA, 504 nt
Filed under: uncultured bacterium
Lineage: Bacteria
Description: partial 16S ribosomal RNA
Rfam family: Bacterial small subunit ribosomal RNA
Source: RNAcentral
AUUGAACGCUGGCGGCAGGCCUAACACAUGCAAGUCGAACGGUAGCACAGAGAGCUUGCUCUCGGGUGACGAGUGGCGGACGGGUGAGUAACGUCUGGGAAACUGCCCGAUGGAGGGGGAUAACUACUGGAAACGGUAGCUAAUACCGCAUAACGUCGCAAGACCAAAGUGGGGGACCUUCGGGCCUCACACCAUCGGAUGUGCCCAGAUGGGAUGAGCUAGUAGGUGGGGUAAUGGCUCACCUAGGCGACGAUCCCUAGCUGGUCUGGGAGGAUGACCAGCCACACUGGAACUGAGACACGGUCCAGACACCUACGGGAGGCAGCAGUGGGGAAUAUUGCACAAUGGGCGCAAGCCUGAUGCAGCCAUGCCGCGUGUAUGAAGAAGGCCUUCGGGUUGUAAAGUACUUUCAGCGGGGAGGAAGGCGGUGGAGUUAAUAACUUCACCGAUUGACGUUGCCCGCGGAAGAAGCACCGGCUAACUCCGUGCCAGCCGCCGCGGUAG